CUAUGGGUAGAAAAAGGUUGAAGGUUCUUUUUAUGUAUUAAUGAAUUUUUUGAGAAAUUAUUGGUUUUUGAGAUAUAAUCAAAAUUUGGACCCGGCAGGUGUAUUAAAGAUUGUUGCUGAACAAAAGCUGCUGUAACUUUUUUGCUUUUAUAGUUAUGAAGGUGGUUUUAAUAGCUAUGGGUAGAAAAAGGUUGAAGGUUCUUUUUAUGUAUUAAUGAAUUUUUUGAGAAAUUAUUGGUUUUUGAGAUAUAAUCAAAAUUUGGACCCGGCAGGUGUAUUAAAGAUUGUUGCUGAACAAAAGCUGCUGUAACUUUUUUGCUUUUAUAGUUAUGAAG
This is a long non-coding RNA of Anthonomus grandis grandis, 335 nucleotides long. RefSeq lists it as uncharacterized. The record is from RefSeq and is a predicted model, not a curated record. The transcript is spliced from 3 exons. NCBI's taxonomy places the organism in Eukaryota, Metazoa, Arthropoda, Insecta, Coleoptera, Curculionidae.